This 253-nucleotide ribosomal RNA is filed under the name uncultured bacterium. RNAcentral describes it as "partial 16S ribosomal RNA". It matches the Rfam family "Bacterial small subunit ribosomal RNA", at positions 524 to 776 of the family's 1533-position model. The record is from RNAcentral.
UACGUAGGGUGCGAGCGUUAAUCGGAAUUACUGGGCGUAAAGCGUGCGCAGGCGGUUCGUUAUGUCCGAUGUGAAAGCCCCGAGCUCAACUUGGGAAUGGCAUUGGAAACUGGCGGGCUGGAGUGUGGCAGAGGGGGGUGGAAUUCCGCGUGUAGCAGUGAAAUGCGUAGAGAUGCGGAGGAACACCGAUGGCGAAGGCAGCCCCCUGGGCUGACACUGACGCUCAGGCACGAAAGCGUGGGGAGCAAACAGG